RNAcentral lists this transfer-messenger RNA (353 nucleotides) under Synergistaceae bacterium. It matches the Rfam family "transfer-messenger RNA". From Rfam's summary of the family: Bacterial tmRNA, also known as 10Sa RNA or SsrA, is named for its dual tRNA and mRNA-like properties. Its role is to liberate the mRNA from a stalled ribosome. The record is from RNAcentral. Lineage: Bacteria; Thermotogati; Synergistota; Synergistia; Synergistales; Synergistaceae.
GGGGGCGACCGGUUUCGACGGCUAGGAUGGUUCGUUGGGAGCGUGCCGAGGAUGAGCAAACCUCGCUAAUACGGGCUCAAAACAAUAAUUGUCGAAAAUUCUUUCGGCCUCGCUGCUUAGUUAGCGGCGACGGACUACCUUGUGAUUGCCGUUUCACUCGGAUAGUCUGUCACAAUAACGGCUGGUGGUCUGUUGCAGCCGUCUUAUGCAACUUGCCACGAGAUUAGCAAGACUGGCUUUUAUAAAUCCUGCUUGUGGGAGAUGUUAAAGCGAGACUAAUAUACAAGCUACGCACGUAGCGCCCUUCGGGGUGUCAUAGUCGGACAGGAGUUCGAUUCUCCCCGCCUCCACCA